UACGGGGGGGGCAAGCGUUGUUCGGAAUUACUGGGCGUAAAGGGCUCGUAGGCGGCCAACUAAGUCAGACGUGAAAUCCCUCGGCUUAACCGGGGAACUGCGUCUGAUACUGGAUGGCUUGAAUCCGGGAGAGGGAUGCGGAAUUCCAGGUGUAGCGGUGAAAUGCGUAGAUAUCUGGAGGAACCCCGGUGGCGAAGGCGGCAUCCUGGACCGGCAUUGACGCUGAGGAGCGAAAGCCAGGGGAGCAAACGGG
This 253-nucleotide ribosomal RNA is filed under the name uncultured bacterium. RNAcentral describes it as "partial 16S ribosomal RNA". It matches the Rfam family "Bacterial small subunit ribosomal RNA", at positions 524 to 776 of the family's 1533-position model. The record is from RNAcentral.